UACAAUUACAAUUUUAAAUUAUUUUUAUUUCUAGCUAAGAUGGGCAUGUUGCAGUUAUGACAGUUAUAAAUUUUAUCUUAGUAAUAUCUCAGUGAUAUUAAGAUUGGAUUUGCUUAAUAUUUCUUUCAAAAUAGAGUAUGAAUGGGACUUAGUUGAAAUGCAAAGAAUGAGCUGAACGUAUCUUGACAUUUAUUAGGUAUGAAAAGUUAUGAAUGGGGCUUACUUGAAAUGCAAGGAAGGAGCUAAACUAAUCUUGACAUUUAUUAGGUGUGUAUAUUUA
Argiope bruennichi is the source of this 280-nucleotide long non-coding RNA. RefSeq lists it as uncharacterized. Lineage: Eukaryota; Metazoa; Arthropoda; Arachnida; Araneae; Araneidae. The transcript is spliced from 3 exons. The record is from RefSeq and is a predicted model, not a curated record.